CCUACGGGAGGCAGCAGUGAGGAAUAUUGGUCAAUGGGCGGAAGCCUGAACCAGCCAAGUAGCGUGCAGGAUGACGGCCCUACGGGUUGUAAACUGCUUUUAUACGGGAAUAACGUGCCUUACGUGUGGGGCUUUCCAUGUUCCGCAUAGAUAAGGCCCGGCGAAUUCCCGUCCCGCCACCGCGGGAAGUCGGGAGGUCCGGGGGUUUUCCGGGUUUUUUUGGGUUAAAAGGGUCGUAGGCCGCAUGGUCAGGGUGCUGGGAAAUGUCGGGGCUCAAACCGGGCCCUGCAGCUGGAACUGGCGGUCGUGAGUCCGCGGAAAGCAGGCGGAAUGCGUGGUGUAGCGGUGAAAUGCUUAGAUAUGACGAAGAACCCCGAUUGCGAAGGCAGCUUGCUGCAGCGCAACUGACGCUGAAGCUCGAAAGCGUGGGUAUCGAACAGGAUUAGAUACCCGUGUAGUC
RNAcentral lists this ribosomal RNA (460 nucleotides) under uncultured bacterium. RNAcentral's name for it is "partial 16S ribosomal RNA". It matches the Rfam family "Bacterial small subunit ribosomal RNA", at positions 338 to 795 of the family's 1533-position model. The record is from RNAcentral.